GGCCUCAUAGCUCAACUGGUCGAGCACUGUACCGGGAUUGCAGAGGUCAGGGUUCGAAUUCCUGUCUAGGCCU
RNAcentral lists this transfer RNA (73 nucleotides) under Acropora cervicornis. RNAcentral's name for it is "tRNA-Pro". It matches the Rfam family "tRNA". Rfam says of the family: Transfer RNA (tRNA) molecules are approximately 80 nucleotides in length. Their secondary structure includes four short double-helical elements and three loops (D, anti-codon, and T loops). The record is from RNAcentral. Lineage: Eukaryota; Metazoa; Cnidaria; Anthozoa; Scleractinia; Acroporidae.